CUACCCGGGUAUCUAAUCCUGUUUGCUCCCCACGCUUUCGUGCAUGAGCGUCAAUAUUAUCCCAGGGGGCUGCCUUCGCCAUUGGUAUUCCUCCACAUCUCUACGCAUUUCACUGCUACACGUGGAAUUCUACCCCCCUCUGACAUAUUCUAGUCUGGCAGUUUCAAACGCAGUUCCCAAGUUGAGCUCGGGGAUUUCACAUCUGACUUGCCAAACCGCCUGCGCACGCUUUACGCCCAGUAAUUCCGAUUAACGCUCGCACCCUACGUAUUACCGCGGCUGCUGGCAC
Molecule: ribosomal RNA, 289 nt
Filed under: uncultured Methylophilus sp.
Lineage: Bacteria; Pseudomonadati; Pseudomonadota; Betaproteobacteria; Nitrosomonadales; Methylophilaceae
Description: partial 16S ribosomal RNA
Source: RNAcentral